This 1489-nucleotide ribosomal RNA is filed under the name uncultured bacterium. Its description in RNAcentral is "bacterial SSU rRNA". It matches the Rfam family "Bacterial small subunit ribosomal RNA". The record is from RNAcentral.
AGAGUUUGAUCCUGGCUCAGGAUGAACGCUAGCGGCAGGCUUAACACAUGCAAGUCGAGGGGCAGCACGUCUUCGGAUGGUGGCGACCGGCGCACGGGUGCNNNNNNNCGUAACGCGUAUACAAUCUACCUUUUACAGAGAGAUACCCCAGAGAAAUUUGGAAUAAUACCUCAUAAUAUUAUUGCUCGGCAUCGAGUGACAAUUAAAGUUUCGGCGGUAAAAGAUGAGUAUGCGUCCUAUUAGCUAGUUGGUAAGGUAACGGCUUACCAAGGCGACGAUAGGUAGGGGUCCUGAGAGGGAGAUCCCCCACACUGGUACUGAGACACGGACCAGACUCCUACGGGAGGCAGCAGUGAGGAAUAUUGGUCAAUGGGCGAAAGCCUGAACCAGCCAUGCCGCGUGCAGGAAGACUGCCCUAUGGGUUGUAAACUGCUUUUAUACAGGAAGAAACACUCCCUCGUGAGGGAGCUUGACGGUACUGUAUGAAUAAGCACCGGCUAACUCCGUGCCAGCAGCCGCGGUAAUACGGAGGGUGCAAGCGUUAUCCGGAAUCAUUGGGUUUAAAGGGUCCGUAGGCGGAUUAAUAAGUCAGAGGUGAAAUCCCACAGCUUAACUGUGGAACUGCCUUUGAUACUGUUAGUCUUGAGUUAUAUGGAAGUAGAUAGAAUGUGUAGUGUAGCGGUGAAAUGCAUAGAUAUUACACAGAAUACCGAUUGCGAAGGCAGUCUACUACGUAUAUACUGACGCUAAUGGACGAAAGCGUGGGGAGCGAACAGGAUUAGAUACCCUGGUAGUCCACGCCGUAAACGAUGGACACUAGUUGUUGGCGAUACACAGUAAGCGGCCAAGCGAAAGCGAUAAGUGAUCCACCUGGGGAGUACGACCGCAAGGUUGAAACUCAAAGGAAUUGACGGGGGCCCGCACAAGCGGAGGAACAUGUGGUUUAAUUCGAUGAUACGCGAGGAACCUUACCUGGGCUUAAAUGUAGGCUGCAUUCGGCUGAAAGGCUGAUUCCCUUCGGGGCUGCUUACAAGGUGCUGCAUGGUUGUCGUCAGCUCGUGCCGUGAGGUGUCGGCUUAAGUGCCAUAACGAGCGCAACCCUUGUCGUUAGUUGCCAUCAAGUAAUGUUGGGGACUCUAGCGAGACUGCCACCGUAAGGUGUGAGGAAGGGGGGGAUGACGUCAAAUCAGCACGGCCCUUACGUCCUGGGCUACACACGUGCUACAAUGGUAUGGACAGAGAGCAGCCACUGGGUGACCAGGCGCUAAUCUCAAAAGCCGGUCUCAGUUCGGAUCGGAGUCUGAAACUCGACUCCGUGAAGUUGGAUUCGCUAGUAAUCGCGCAUCAGCCAUGGCGCGGUGAAUACGUUCCCGGGCCUUGUACACACCGCCCGUCAAGCCAUGGAAGCUGGGGGUACCUGAAGUCGGUCACCGCAAGGAGCCGCCUAGGGUAAAACUAGUAACUAGGGCUAAGUCGUAACAAGGUAACC